UUACGGCCAUAUCAUGUUGAAACACUAGUUACCGUAUGAUCACCGAAGUUAAGUAACGUCGACCCUGGUCAGUACCUUAGAUGGGUGACCGCUUGGGAAUACCAGGUGCUGUAA
Acanthosepion pharaonis is the source of this 114-nucleotide non-coding RNA. The record is from the annotation of a GenBank genome assembly. Lineage: Eukaryota; Metazoa; Mollusca; Cephalopoda; Sepiida; Sepiidae.